RNAcentral lists this small RNA (817 nucleotides) under Arabidopsis thaliana (thale cress). Its description in RNAcentral is "ATSL261500". The record is from RNAcentral. Lineage: Eukaryota; Viridiplantae; Streptophyta; Magnoliopsida; Brassicales; Brassicaceae.
AACGAAUCAUAUAUAUGAAAGAAGACUAACUCUCUCCCACCACUUGACACAUCAGCACAUGAGAGCUUGCCACCUAAACUUCAUAAAAUAAGUAAUACAUAAUUAGUAAUUAAUUCAAUAUAACAACUAAAAUAGGAGAAUAUAAUUAAUGAGACCUUGAACCAUCACUCUUUCUACAUUUUUUUAAUUCAAUAUAUCCUCUUUAAUUUUGAGAUCCACUUAAGUGGUUAAAGUGAUGAUAAAAUCCAAACAUGUUACACAUAUUCCUAUCCUAAAAAUUAGACGAUUAUUAUGAAAGAAACUAAAUGAAUAUGCAGAUGAAAUAUAUCUAAGCUUUUCGAGAUUUAUGCUAAGAAAACAAGUAAUUUGAAAGAUAUUUGAGGAACUAUCCUUAUAACUAAUACGUAAGAUAUAAGAUUAUGACAAGAACUUAACUAAACUUUCCAAGAACAUCAAGUUGAAUAUGCUUAGAUUGAAUAUGCAGAGACAUGAUUAAUAAAGACAUGUUAUAUUUUUAGUGUAAGAAAUAUAUUUUCUAAAAUUUCACCGUCUCACAAUCUAUACAUAUAACUUAAGAAGCAAGGAUAUAUAAAUUCAAAAAAAAACUGAGAAUCUAAAACAUCAAUAAAAACAACUCAAUCACAUUCGUUUUUCAGAUGAACUAAUAUAGUUGGGUUUUUCAAAAACAAUUACAAAUCAUAUUUAUGUUUCAAAACCUAUGCAUUCAAUUUUACUUUAUAUGAACAUACAUUAUAUAAAACAAUUUGUAAAUAUUAAUACGUAAACCUACGUGCGGGUACUCAUCUAGUAUAAGAGA